UGAGAUGAAGCACUGUAACUCC
This 22-nucleotide microRNA is filed under the name Petromyzon marinus (sea lamprey). RNAcentral describes it as "pma-miR-143-3p". Its record names the gene pma-miR-143-3p. Lineage: Eukaryota; Metazoa; Chordata; Hyperoartia; Petromyzontiformes; Petromyzontidae. The record is from miRBase by way of RNAcentral.